UACGGAGGGUGCAAGCGUUAUCCGGAUUUACUGGGUUUAAAGGGUGCGUAGGUGGGUAGGUAAGUCAGUGGUGAAAUCUUCGAGCUUAACUCGGAAACUGCCAUUGAUACUAUUUAUCUUGAAUACUUUGGAGGUAAGCGGAAUAUGUCAUGUAGCGGUGAAAUGCUUAGAUAUGACAUAGAACACCAAUUGCGAAGGCAGCUUACUACACAGUUAUUGACACUGAGGCACGAAAAGCGUGGGGAUCAAACAGG
This 254-nucleotide ribosomal RNA is filed under the name uncultured bacterium. RNAcentral's name for it is "partial 16S ribosomal RNA". It matches the Rfam family "Bacterial small subunit ribosomal RNA", at positions 524 to 776 of the family's 1533-position model. The record is from RNAcentral.